GAACUGAAGAGUUUGAUCCUGGCUCAGAUUGAACGCUGGCGGUAUGCUUUACACAUGCAAGUCGAACGGCAGCACGGGGCAACCUGGUGGCGAGUGGCGAACGGGUGAGUAACAUAUCGGAA
This 122-nucleotide ribosomal RNA is filed under the name Gallionella sp. RNAcentral describes it as "partial 16S ribosomal RNA". It matches the Rfam family "Bacterial small subunit ribosomal RNA", at positions 1 to 123 of the family's 1533-position model. The record is from RNAcentral. Lineage: Bacteria; Pseudomonadati; Pseudomonadota; Betaproteobacteria; Nitrosomonadales; Gallionellaceae.